RNAcentral lists this long non-coding RNA (509 nucleotides) under Equus caballus (horse). RNAcentral's name for it is "lncRNA (ENSECAG00000058152.1)". The record is from RNAcentral. Lineage: Eukaryota; Metazoa; Chordata; Mammalia; Perissodactyla; Equidae.
UCUGGGCGGCGGGCACGCGCGCGCACGCGAGGAGCGCGCGGCUGCUGGGCCGCCGUCCGGGGAGGCGUGGGCGAGCUGCGCCUGCCUGCCCAGAGCCGAGCCCGGCGGAGUCCGGCCGCGCGGUGCUGCUCUCUCCCGGGCCGGGCUCGUCCGUUCCCCCGGCGUCCGUGGACGCCGCUCCGUGUCCCCGCUGGGCACAGCAGCCCGGGCCCUCCACAGCCACGGCCGCUAGCCUGAGGAGGCCCUCCUUCAGCUCGCGCUCUUCCCGCUCGCCGGACCCGGACGACCAGGGCGCCCGCGAAGAUGAUUCCAUCUGGGAGAGGUUUUUGGAGACCAAGCGUGGUGAUUCGGAACGUGGACUCUGCAGCCAGACUCUGUCAAAUGGGUCCUAGCUCUGCCACCUACGGGCUGUGUGAACUUGGGCAAGUUACUGGACCAUUCUGUGUGUCAGUUUCCUGAUCUGUAAAACGGGGAUGAUUAUAAUACACACUCCAUAGGUGAGUGUAAAG